GAUUUCUGAUCCAAUAUGUCUAGCCCGCCAGGGUUACCUGUGUGUGUGCUGGAAUGUUAUUGAUCAUCCGUUCUAGAUCACUCUUCUACUCUGUAAAAGGAGUUGGAAUGUUAGUGUAUAUCUAGAUCUUUUACUUUGAACAAAUUAGAGUGUUUCAAGCAGGCGUUGUUUGCGUUGAAUACAUUAGCAUGGAAUAAUCGAAUAGGACUUUGGUUCUACUUUUCGUUGGUUUCAAGAACUAAAGUAAUGAUUGAUAGGGAUAGUUGGGGGUGCUAGUAUUCAGUGGCCAGAGGUGAAAUUCUUGGAUUCACUGAAGACUAACUAAUGCGAAAGCAUU
RNAcentral lists this ribosomal RNA (337 nucleotides) under uncultured Metabolomonas. RNAcentral describes it as "bacterial SSU rRNA". The stretch from base 65 to 337 matches the Rfam family "Eukaryotic small subunit ribosomal RNA", at positions 686 to 955 of the family's 1831-position model. The record is from RNAcentral. Lineage: Eukaryota; Cercozoa; Cercomonadida.